RNAcentral lists this ribosomal RNA (167 nucleotides) under uncultured bacterium. RNAcentral's name for it is "partial 16S rRNA". It matches the Rfam family "Bacterial small subunit ribosomal RNA", at positions 355 to 511 of the family's 1533-position model. The record is from RNAcentral.
UAGGGAAUCUUCGGCAAUGGGGGGCAACCCCUGACCGAGCAACGCCGCGUGAGUGAAGAAGGUUUUCGGAUCGUAAAGCUCUGUUGUAAGAGAAGAACGUGUGUGAGAGUGGAAAGUUCACACAGUGGCGGUAACUUACCAGAAAGGGACGGCUAACUACGUGCCAG